This 2927-nucleotide ribosomal RNA is filed under the name Ctenocephalides felis (cat flea). RNAcentral's name for it is "eukaryotic LSU rRNA". The stretch from base 1765 to 2927 matches the Rfam family "Eukaryotic large subunit ribosomal RNA", at positions 1891 to 3272 of the family's 3401-position model. The record is from RNAcentral. Lineage: Eukaryota; Metazoa; Arthropoda; Insecta; Siphonaptera; Pulicidae.
AGUGUGUUAUUCGUAGACUGGUUGAAGAUGUAAUGGAGAAAGACAUUUUUUAAAAAAUAUAUUUUCCAAGAUUCUGCACAUGUGUGGAACGAAUUGUAAAUCCUUUGCGCGAACGCUUUUAUUGUUUUGUAAGAAAUUUGGAAAUGUUAUCUAAAUAGAAGAGAUUUGUGUCGCACAGCGUGUUGAGUUCAUUUCGUUUAUUUUUGUCUUAUUGUUAUAAAUAGUCAAAAAAGAUCCCUCUAUAAUUCUUCGUUUAAAUAAAUUUUGUUCAAAUUGUAGUACAGUCGGAUUAGAAAAGUCCAUAUUGUGUUUUAAAGUGUAUAUAUAGUCUGCAAGAACAGUUUUGAAUUGUUUGGGGUUUUUUGAAUUGUUUUUAUGUUGUUGUAACCGUUUAUUGAGGUUCUGGCUAGUUUCUCCUAUGUAAAUUAAAUUACAGUCUAAACAAUUUAUUUGAUAGACGAGAUUUCUGAGUCGUUCAAUAUUAAAUGGGGUUUUUGUCUUAGUAAAAAUAGUGCUAGUAGUUGUACUAAAAUUGGUUACAAGUCGAAGUCCAGAUUUAUAAAAAAGUUUUUUCCAAGGAACAUACAAUUCUUUAAUGUAUGGCAAACAUAUUACACCAGAAUGAGUUUCUGAGUCAGGUAAAUCGUUAUGUACUGUGCAAUUGUCUAUUUUAUUCAAAAGGUACGUUUGUCUGUUACUAGUUACGGAAUUUAUAAGUUUUAGGGGAUAAGAGUUAUCUGUUAAAAUUUUUUGUAAUUAAUUUGAUGUUGUUGUCGCAAAAUGUUUUGUCCGAUAGAAGUAUUGCGUGGUCCGUUAGAUUUAUUAUAGUACCUAUUUUCAUUUUGAGUGGAUGAUAAGAAAAGUAAUUAAGGUAGCGUCCGGAGUUAGUUGGUUUUUGUACCAAUUUGUUAUUAGUUUGUUAUCUGUAGUACGUAUAAGUUUUAUGUCUAAGAAACUUAUCGAGUUCAUUGUCUCCAAUUCCACUGUAAAUUUUAAUUUUUAUUGACGUUAUUAAAUUGAUCAAUUAUCAUAGUGACAUCAUCACUAGGGAUACAAGUGAUAAUGUCAUCUACAUAACGGUAAUAAAAAAUAUGUUUAUUGUAAUUUUUAAAAUUGUAUUUUCAAGGAGUUGUAAGGAUAUUUCUGCUAGAGAUGGACUUGCUGGGGACCCCAUUGGCGCCCCAAAAUUUGAUAAUAGAAAGAGCCAUUGAAUUCAAAAUAAGUGUUAGAGACAAUGAACUUGACGGUUUCCCUGAACCAGUGUAAAGAUAAAGAAGUCAACGGGGAAAUUUCAUUCCAUCGGAUUGUUAUUUUGUCUAAAAUAAGGUCUAGGGGUACAUUAGUAAAAAGUGAGACUACGUCUAAGCUAAUUAGUUUGUAGUUGUCUGGUAUAUAAUUUAUCUUGUGUUUUAAGUCAGUAACGAGUUCAUAAGAAUUUUUUAUGUAGUGUGGUGAUUGUUUAAACACCUGAAGGCACUCGAAAACCGGAUUUGAUCGCGUCACAGGGUCGGAAGACAGUUGUACUGGAUGCCCAAAUAGUAGGAAGCUCUACUAAUAUGACCGGAGCCCACAGGCAAAAGAUCGAACAUUAUAAGAAUCUGGAGGACGUAGUGAAACUGAAAUACAAUGUGUCAACAGUGGUGUACAACACAAUUACCCUAAACAUCAGGGGUGUAUGGCACGAAGAAUCGGCGAAUUUUCUAGUGUCGGAGAAGAUACUUAAUAAAAAUGAAAUGAAGGUAAUCUCUACUAGAGCGAUAAUUGGAGGACUAAACGGAUUUGCGAAAUGGUCAAAAACAACGACUACAGGACACGAGCCACAAGGAAUCGGAUGACCACCUAAAUUGCACGCGUGCUGCCUGCUCUCAACAUCCCCCAGGCAUAAGACUAGGAGUUAGGUUUAGUGGGUAUUGCCUUCGGGCCGAGUCCCACACUAUUGAUCAACCUGGCGACCAUUGUACAUAAAUGUAUUCCCCUCCUAGCAAAAAAAAAGCCAAAUGCCUCGUCAUUUAAUUGAAUGGAUUAACGAGAUUCCCACUGUCCCUAUCUACUUUCUAGCGAAACCACUGCCAUGGAACGGGCUUGAAAAAAUUAGCGGCGAAAGAAGACCCUGUUGAGCUUGACUCUAGUCUGGAAUUGUAAGGAGACAUGAAAGGUGUAGCAUAAGUGGGAGAUAGUAAUAUCGUCGGUGAAAUACCACUACUUUCAUCGUUUCUUUACUUACUCGAUUGGACGGAAAGCGUGCGUCGAAAACUUGCGUCCGACUGUCACGGUUUUCUAGAGCCAAGCGCAUAAGAAUGGUGUGAGGCAUUGCGCCGAGGCCAACUCAGCGAGGACAGAAACCUCGCGUAGAGCAAAAAGGGCAAAUGCUGGCUUGAUCCCGUUGUUUAGUGUGCACAGGGACUGCAAAAGCAUGGUCUAUCGAUCCUUUUGGCUUGAAGAGUUUUAAGCAAGAGGUGUCAGAAAGGUUACCACUGGGAUAAUUGGCUUGUGGCAGCCAAGCGUUCAUAGCGACGUUGCUUUUUGAUCUUUCGAUGUCGGCUCUUUCUAUCAUUGCGAAGCAGAAUUCGCCAAGCGUUGGAUUGUUCACCCACAAAUAGGGAACGUGAGCUGGGUUUAGACCGUCGUGAGACAGGUUAGUUUUACCCUACUGAUGAAUCGUCGUUGCGAUAGUAAUCCUGCUCAGUACGAGAGGACCCGCAGGUUCGGACAUUUGGUUCACGCACUCGGUCGAGCGGCCGGUGGUGCAAAGCUACCAUCCGUGGGAUUAUGCCUGAACGCUUCUAAGGCCGUAUCCUUUCUAGACAAAGUAAGCAACGAUAUCUCUAUGAGUCUCGUGAGUCGAAAGGCUCAAUACAAUGUGAUUUAUUAGGUAUUCGGCACACGCCGUUUAUCGCACGAGCCAUUUUUAGCCGAAUGUGGCGCUG